AUGCAAACUUCUCUUUGCCAUCACCUCAUUUGGAAAUAGCCACCAUAUGACCACCGAUGCAGUGUUAUCCGUUUGGUGUUCCAGCCUCCAGAUGUCUUUUGGGGGAUAGGUUUGCAUCUGUUAGAGAUGAAGGAACUAAGUGGCAUCAUGACUUUUCCUCAUGGAAAUUACUUGGGGGCAAACAAAUUGUUCUGCCUUUCUUCUGAUGCAUUUUAAACUAAGUCAUCCUUUUGUUUCACCAACAGCAAAAACAAGCAUUUUUCAAAAACUGAAGUCAAUCAAAGGAGUAGUAGCAAUAAAGAGGAAGAUUGUUAUCAUGGGGUGAAGAUGAGGCAAUGCCAAGUAUAGUGCCGCGUACAGAGCCUGGAGCAAGGUGAACAAACGCAGGCUCCGGGAUGCCAAGUGACUUCAUAUCAACAUCACCCAGCAGAUUAAGGGAACUGGGCCCAGACUCCUAGGCUCCUGACUACCCAGUCCUGUGCCCAUUCUAGUGGCCACUAUACUCACCCACUGGUUGUAGCCAUAUCUGGCUUAGGCUGGCAACACUUUUGAAGCAAGGAUGAUGCUUUCUUUCUUUUGCCCAAGACCAUUCUUCAUAUAAUAAGACAAUUAACAGAUUGUGGGUUUGAUUUAUAUGUAUGGUGAACUAACACUGGAAUGUAUCUGAAAGAUUGAGGCAGGAGAGGUAGUCAAGGAAGUAACCACGUCUUUCAGACGUGGCAACCGUGAUGACCACCAACACAAUAAGCCCUGGUGUUGACACUGUAGUCAAGCUCAUUCAAGCAAAGCUAUUUUCAGUAGGGAAUUUCCUCUGUAGAGAGCAUGCACAUUUUGAUUUUACCUGUCCUCAAACUGACCCUUUGCUCAUUAUAAUACUAAUAUAAAAAAUACUAAUAUUAAAAAAACCCCUGGGUGGAGAUUUAAGACGUUAAUGAGACAUGCGACCUAUGAAUAAGCAUGUACAGCUACUGCACAUGUGCAUCCAGAGGACCACCCACAAUAUGCUUACUAGUAACAUCUCCUUCCACACCCUUAUGAAUAAUCAUGUAAGAUUCCCAUAAGGGUAGUCUCCCUAGGGCCAGUCCAUGCUUUCUCUUCUUUAUGAGCAGCCUGCCAUGAAUCCUCUCUCAGGGUGCACUGUCUAUUCUGCACCCAGCUUUUAGAAUAUUCUUUCUCUUUUGCAAUAAAUUGCUCUAUGCUGCAGCUCCUUUGCUGUGUGUCUCUUCUUUAAGUUCUUUUAAACUAAUAAGACAAGAACUGAGGUCUCACAACAGCCAUCAACAAGAUUGUUGAAAUUCUGGAAGAGUGAUUUUCCCCAUGGGUAAUACAUUAUUCUUUUUAUUAUUUCAA
This 1350-nucleotide long non-coding RNA is filed under the name Homo sapiens (human). Its description in RNAcentral is "HSALNT0120033". Lineage: Eukaryota; Metazoa; Chordata; Mammalia; Primates; Hominidae. The record is from RNAcentral.